RNAcentral lists this long non-coding RNA (1592 nucleotides) under Mytilus galloprovincialis (Mediterranean mussel). Lineage: Eukaryota; Metazoa; Mollusca; Bivalvia; Mytilida; Mytilidae. The record is from RNAcentral.
GUGUUAUUAUAAUAGUGCAUUUCUCCCUACACCUGAGAUUCAUGUAGUAUUUGCAACUGGACGUUUACACAAAUCAAUCCAUCUACCCAUUUAUUAUGUGGCUAUAAGAUGUAAAAAAAAAAAAAUAUCAGCUUACUGUUACAAUUCAUCGUCUUAGUUAAAGUUUCCGUUAUGAUUCAAGCAUAUCGAAUUGUAAAAUCUGCUGUAAGGAAAGUUAUGAACAUUUUAAAGCCGUGUUUUGUUAUGCAAGCAAGAUCUUAAAAUUUUUUUCCAUGGUUCUGGAGUAAAGCUGUGGAUAUUUCCUUAUUUAUUCAAAUAGAAAAAAAAUAUCAUCGGUCCGACAUAUAAAAAGCACCUUGCCAUUUUUUAAUAUCAUUAAUUAUAUCUUCAAGCAGUUCUGUUUUGAAUCGGGAAGAACAAUAUCUACUUCAAUUCAAAUGUUCGCUCGGUGUGACUCUCUGAAACAAUCAAUACGUGAACUUUGCUGCAAAACGUACUAUACAAUAUAUGGAUUUAUUUUUUCCGUAAAUGUGAAAUAAUCGACACAUCUUACAGCAUUUACUAGGGUCUGAAUGGGGUCUUUCAUAUCUGUAUUCUAUGAUAAUUUAGAUCAUAUUCCUUUAUUUCUUUUAUAUUUUAUGCCCAUUGUCAUGAUUAUUUUCUAUUCUGUAUAUAUUAGACCCUUUUUAUCUAUUUUUUUGGGAGUAAAUUAUUUUCUUUUUUUCUUCUUUUAGCUCUAAUCACGACCCUCAUUUACGUUUGUUGUGCAUGCGAUAUAUAAACUGCAGUCUCGCAAAGCUAUACCUGUGUGAAGACAACUUCACAGUAUCAAUGUUUCAUAUACUAACUAUGAAGUAAAUAAAAUGCAUUUCUUUACGUACAUAAAUACAUCCGACAAAUGUUUGCAAAAAUAAGCAAAUAUUUGUCAGCAUUUACUUUGGUUGUAAAUGUUUUAUAAACCGCGGUCUCUCAAAACUUUGCAUACGUCUAUAAAGAUAUGUUGCAAAUAUUAAUAUUUAUCAAAAUAACUAUGAUAGUGGAAAGUAUUAGUAAAUAAAAUACAUGUCUUUACAUACAUAAACUAUAUCGACAAAUGUUUGCAAAUAUAACACAAACAUUUGACAGCAUUUACUUUGGCUGUAAAUGUUUUAUAAACCGCGGUCUCUCAAAACUUUGCAUACGUCUGUAAAGAUAUGUUGCAAAUAUCGAUAUUUAUCAAAAUAUUUAUGAUAAUGGAAAGUAUAAGUAAAUAAAAUGCACUCCUGUACAUACAUAAACGAUAUCGACAAACGUUUUCAAAUAUAACACAAACAGUUGACAGCAUUUACAUUGGUUGUAAAUGUUUUAUAAACCGCGGUCUCUCAAAACUUUGCAUACGUCUGUAAAGAUAUGUUGCAAAUAUCGAUAUUUAUCAAAAUAACUAUAAUACUGGAAAGUAUUAGUAAAUAAAAUACAUUUCUUUACAUGCAUGAACGAUAUCGAAAAACGUUUGCAAAUAUAACAUAAACAUUUGACAGCAUUUACAUUGGUUGUAAAUGUUUUAUAAACCGCGGUCUCUCAAAACUUUGCAUACGUCUGUAAAGAUAUGUUGC